UACGUAGGUGACAAGCGUUGUCCGGAUUUACUGGGCGUAAAGAGCGCGCAGGCGGUCGUUCAAGUCGAGUGUGAAAGCCCCCGGCUCAACUGGGGAGGGUCACUCGAUACUGAUCGACUCGAAGGCAGGAGAGGGAAGUGGAAUUCCCGGUGUAGUGGUGAAAUGCGUAGAUAUCGGGAGGAACACCAGUGGCGAAGGCGACUUCCUGGCCUGUUCUUGACGCUGAGGCGCGAAAGCUAGGGGAGCAAACGGG
This 253-nucleotide ribosomal RNA is filed under the name uncultured bacterium. Its description in RNAcentral is "partial 16S ribosomal RNA". It matches the Rfam family "Bacterial small subunit ribosomal RNA", at positions 524 to 776 of the family's 1533-position model. RNAcentral also lists the same sequence under 1 other name. The record is from RNAcentral.